AAGGAGAGGAAUUGAGGAAGGACAGAGAGCAGGAGCAUAUGGACAGAGGAGAGGCAGAAGCCGGGCUCUGCAGGGCUGUGGAAGCUGGAGGAGUAGGUUGUCCCAGAGUCCCGUACCCCUGGGGAUCCAGGAAGUUACACUGAGGUGAGGCCAACUGCUCUGUGUGUGGAAGCCAGAGAAGAAAGCAGCACAGAACAGAUGCAAACCAAGGAGGCUGGAAGAUAAGAGCAGAGCCAUCAGGACACGAGCCCCUCGCGGGUAUGAAACAGGAGUCGUGGGAGCAAAUUAGUAGGUGCACUGCAUGGAGGGACGGAAGGGGCAGGGAGGAGCAUCUGAAUGUAAGAUUUCAGAGAAGCUCAUUUUGUCAGCAUUUCAGAGCUUCCUGUGUGCAGCAUGGAUCUAAAGCUGGUGGAUGCAGGGGGGUGAACAAGACAACAUCUUCACUUCCUGCAUGCUGAUGGCAGAAGUGAGACAUCAGCGAAGAAACAUCACGAUCACCAAAUUACGAUGAACACCAUGGAGGAAACAAAGGACACUGUGACACCAAGGAAGGAAGGGAGGUUACUUUUCAUAGUGGCUGUAAAUAGAACUGAAGGCUGAAAAACAGCUGUUAAAAUGGCUUGUUUGUUUGAAGAUGAAUGAGAGUACACAAUAAAAGGAAAAAAAUUUGGACACAGACACACACAGAGGGAUGACCACGUGGAGAUGCAGGGAGAGGAUAGCAGCUACAGGCCAGGGCGAGAGGCCUCAGAGGAAACCAGUCCUGCUGACUCUUUGAACUCGGACUUCCAGCCUCCAGAACUGUGAGAAAAUAAAUUUCUGUUUUAAGUCA
Molecule: long non-coding RNA, 832 nt
Filed under: Homo sapiens (human)
Lineage: Eukaryota; Metazoa; Chordata; Mammalia; Primates; Hominidae
Description: HSALNT0304424
Source: RNAcentral